Molecule: ribosomal RNA, 581 nt
Filed under: Alteromonas sp. SDBC9
Lineage: Bacteria; Pseudomonadati; Pseudomonadota; Gammaproteobacteria; Alteromonadales; Alteromonadaceae
Description: bacterial SSU rRNA
Rfam family: Bacterial small subunit ribosomal RNA
Source: RNAcentral
AUGCAGCCAUGCCGCGUGUGUGAAGAAGGCCUUCGGGUUGUAAAGCACUUUCAGUUGUGAGGAAAAGUUAGUAGUUAAUACCUGCUAGCCGUGACGUUAACAACAGAAGAAGCACCGGCUAACUCCGUGCCAGCAGCCGCGGUAAUACGGAGGGUGCGAGCGUUAAUCGGAAUUACUGGGCGUAAAGCGCACGCAGGCGGUUUGUUAAGCUAGAUGUGAAAGCCCCGGGCUCAACCUGGGAUGGUCAUUUAGAACUGGCAGACUAGAGUCUUGGAGAGGGGAGUGGAAUUCCAGGUGUAGCGGUGAAAUGCGUAGAUAUCUGGAGGAACAUCAGUGGCGAAGGCGACUCCCUGGCCAAAGACUGACGCUCAUGUGCGAAAGUGUGGGUAGCGAACAGGAUUAGAUACCCUGGUAGUCCACACCGUAAACGCUGUCUACUAGCUGUGUGUGUCUUUAAGACGUGCGUAGCGAAGCUAACGCGCUAAGUAGACCGCCUGGGGAGUACGGCCGCAAGGUUAAAACUCAAAUGAAUUGACGGGGGCCCGCACAAGCGGUGGAGCAUGUGGUUUAAUUCGAUGCAA